Molecule: ribosomal RNA, 505 nt
Filed under: uncultured bacterium
Lineage: Bacteria
Description: partial 16S ribosomal RNA
Rfam family: Bacterial small subunit ribosomal RNA
Source: RNAcentral
GACGAACGCUGGCGGCGUGCCUAAUACAUGCCAGUAGAACGCACAGUUUAUACCGUAGCUUGCUACACCAUAGACUGUGAGUUGCGAACGGGUGAGUAACGCGUAGGUAACCUGCCUGGUAUCGGGUGAUAACUAUUGAAAACGAUAGCUAAUACCGCAUAAUAUUCAUUAUUCCAUGAUAAUUAAUUGAAAGGUGCAAUUGCAUCACUACCAGAUGGCCCUGCGUUGUAUUAGCUAGUAGGUGAGGUAACGGCUCACCUAGGCGACGAUACAUAGCCGACCCGGGAGGGUGGUCGGCCACACUGGGACUGAGACACGGCCCAGAAUCCUACGGGAAGGAGCAGUAGGGAAUCUUCGGCAAUGGACGAAAGUCUGAACGAGCAACGCCGCGGGAGGGAAGAAGGUUUUCGGAUCGUAAAGCUCUGUUGUAAGAGAAGAAAGGGUGUGAGAGUGGAAAGUGCACACUGUGACGGUAUCUUACCAGAAAGGGACGGCUAACUACGUG